This 1260-nucleotide long non-coding RNA is filed under the name Canis lupus dingo (dingo). RNAcentral describes it as "lncRNA (ENSCAFG00020019910.1)". The record is from RNAcentral. Lineage: Eukaryota; Metazoa; Chordata; Mammalia; Carnivora; Canidae.
CCCCCUGCCCGGGGGCGGGGGCGGGGCGGGGCGGGGGCGGGGGCCGCGGCGGCCGGGCCGCUCCCGCGCUCGUCCUCCCGCCCGGGCCCCGGCCCCGCGCCCCGCGCCCCGCGCCCCGCGGCGGGGACGGGGCCGGGGCCGGGGCGGGGGGCGGGGGGCGGGGGCCGGGGGGGCAGGGCCGCCGCGCCUCCCCGCCCCCUCCUCCGCGGGCCUCCGGAGCGAUUUGUCAAACUUCCCAUUCCGCCGGCGGCGCGGUCCUCCUCCUCCUCCUCCUCCUCCUCCUCCUCCUCCUCCUCCUCCUCCUCCCCCGUCGCCACCUCCUCCUCCCGGCCUCCUCCUCCCCCCGCGCUCCUCCUCCCCGCGCCUCCCUCGCCCGCCCUCCUUCUUCCCUCCGCACGUUCGGGGAUCGCGGCGGAGCGCGGAGAGGGGGGGACGCGGAGAGCCGGGGCGCAGCAGCAUCCUGCGGGCGGCCGCUCUCCGGGGGGGAGGCUCGAGCCGGCCCGCCUCGCCCCCCCGCGGCCCGCCGCCCCUCCCUCCCGCCCUCUCCCCAGCCCGGCAGCGGCGGCGGCGGCGGUGGCAGUCGCCGGAGGAGCAUCAUGCCGAGGAGGAAGCAGCAGGCGCCCCGGCGCGCAGCAGGUACGAGCCGCUUCCCCUUCCUCCCGCGCCCGCUCCCGCGCCCGCGCCCGCUCCCGCUCCCGCUCCCGCUCCCGCCGGCGCCCGGGCCGCCGCUGCCCGCGCGGAGUAACUCCGGGGCGCGCGGGGCUCGCCGGCCGCCCCGCUCCGCUGCGCCCGCCCCGCGCCCCGGGCGCCCCGCCGCGCUCGCCCUGCCCGGCCCGGCCCGGCCCGGCCCGCACCCACUUGGAGCGGCGCGCGCGCUCGGGGCCGGCCGCCUCCCUGCGCCGGGGCUGCGGGGCGGCCUCCCGCGGGGCGGGGGCGGGGGCGCGGGCGGGGGCCGGGCCGGGCCGGGCCGGGGCCGGGGCGCGGGCGGGGUCACCUGAGUUCCCGGGACACCUUCCGCGCCCUGCGGCGGCGGCGGCGGCGGGGCGCAGCCGGGUGCGCGCGGAGCGCCCGGGAGCCAGCCGGCGAGUGAGCGAGCGGUCCCCUGGCCACCUUCCUGCUAAUCCGAUUGAUUCUUCAUUUAUUGGGCCCGACGCGGGCAAGCGGUGGAAGCCAGAGCGCACGGGGUCUGGGUAUUGUCAGAUGACUGUCAAGCCCGCCUCGGAGGCUGGCGUCCCCUCUGCCCGCGUGUGUUUUCCCUGA